GGCGGCGUAGCUCAGUUGGCUAGAGCAUUCGGUUCAUACCCGGAGUGUCAUGUGUUCGAGUCACAUCGCCGCUACCA
RNAcentral lists this transfer RNA (77 nucleotides) under bacterium. RNAcentral describes it as "tRNA-Met". It matches the Rfam family "tRNA". Rfam says of the family: Transfer RNA (tRNA) molecules are approximately 80 nucleotides in length. Their secondary structure includes four short double-helical elements and three loops (D, anti-codon, and T loops). The record is from RNAcentral. RNAcentral also lists the same sequence under 8 other names.